This 484-nucleotide ribosomal RNA is filed under the name uncultured bacterium. RNAcentral's name for it is "partial 16S ribosomal RNA". It matches the Rfam family "Bacterial small subunit ribosomal RNA", at positions 30 to 507 of the family's 1533-position model. The record is from RNAcentral.
AUUGAACGCUGGCGGCAGGCCUAACACAUGCAAGUCGAGCGGAUGAAGGGAGCUUGCUCCUGGAUUCAGCGGCGGACGGGUGAGUAAUGUCUAGGAAUCUGCCUGGUAGUGGGGGAUAACGUCCGGAAACGGGCGCUAAUACCGCAUACGUCCUGAGGGAGAAAGUGGGGGAUCUUCGGACCUCACGCUAUCAGAUGAGCCUAGGUCGGAUUAGCUAGUUGGUGGGGUAAAGGCCUACCAAGGCGACGAUCCGUAACUGGUCUGAGAGGAUGAUCAGUCACACUGGAACUGAGACACGGUCCAGACUCCUACGGGAGGCAGCAGUGGGGAAUAUUGGACAAAGGGCGAAAGCCUGAUCCAGCCAUGCCGCGUGUGUGAAGAAGGUCUUCGGAUUGUAAAGCACUUUAAGUUGGGAGGAAGGGCAGUAAGUUAAUACCUUGCUGUUUUGACGUUACCAACAGAAUGAGCACCGGCUAACUUCGUG